UGCAACUUAGGGCUGGGGGAUACUGGAGUCGCGCCAUGAAAGCAAUCCUGCUGUUGCUGAUGUGGCUAUUCUGUCUCUGAGUUGAUGAAAUUCACAAUCCUUGGUUUGAUCGCCACUGAGCAACUUUCUUUGCAGAUGUCGUGAUUUGGGGGAAAAGUUCGGCAUUUUUCGCUUUGGCAAGCUGUAGGGCACGCAGACGUGAACUGACAGGAUCGUUGUACACGUACAGUGUCUAGAGCGACAGGAGUGUCAUUGCGUGACUGCAGUGCUGACAUCGCAGCACUGAUUUCACAAUGCAAGACUGAUAAGCAGUGCGAAACAUUGUUGGAUUGUGUAAAAGACAGUGUGCAGAAUGGGUUACAUUGUUAAACUGUGAAAUACACUUUUCGAACGGUAAGGGUAAGACACUCAGCUUUCAUAGCACUGAUCAGUGGAAACUAUUGUUUACAAAUGUUGCAUGCAAAGCGACACUAUUUAAUUAAAUAGGAUACAGCAUUUCAAAGAAACCUAACUAUUAGAUAGCUUAUUGAAGGGUAUUUCAACUGUAGCUGUUGUCAUGAUAUCAGUUACAUACAAAUUGCUAUGUAGAAAAACAAACAACUGUUUUGCGAGAGAAC
Molecule: long non-coding RNA, 617 nt
Organism: Corticium candelabrum
Lineage: Eukaryota; Metazoa; Porifera; Homoscleromorpha; Homosclerophorida; Plakinidae
Exons: 3
Source: RefSeq, a predicted model, not a curated record